This 227-nucleotide long non-coding RNA is filed under the name Mytilus galloprovincialis (Mediterranean mussel). The record is from RNAcentral. Lineage: Eukaryota; Metazoa; Mollusca; Bivalvia; Mytilida; Mytilidae.
GUCUUGGCUAUGUUUUUUACUACCUAUCCAUAUAACGUUUGUUUUGUCUAAGUUAAUUUUCAGUCCUGAUAUCUCAGCAUAGAAUUGUAAUAUACGGAGAGAUGCAUCCAGCGAGGAAGGCGACCCAUCUAAAAAUAAGUGAUGUGUCGUCUGCAUAUUGAGACAAGAUAUACUCUGAAUCGUCUAUCGUAAUACCCUAUAUCUCAUCACUACCUCUUACUAAAAUG